Molecule: ribosomal RNA, 467 nt
Filed under: uncultured bacterium
Lineage: Bacteria
Description: partial 16S ribosomal RNA
Rfam family: Bacterial small subunit ribosomal RNA
Source: RNAcentral
GACGAACGCUGGCGGCGUGCUUAACACAUGCAAGUCGAACGGAAAGGCUCCUGCUUGCAGGGGUACUCGAGUGGCGAACGGGUGAGUAACACGUGGGUGAUCUGCCUUGUACUCUGGGAUAAGCUUGGGAAACUGGGUCUAAUACCGGAUAAUAACUGCCUUUAGUGUGGUGGUUGGAAAGUUUUUUCGGUGCAAGAUGAGCUCGCGGCCUAUCAGCUUGUUGGUGGGGUAAUGGCCUACCAAGGCGUCGACGGGUAGCCGGCCUGAGAGGGUGUACGGCCACAUUGGGACUGAGAUACGGCCCAGACUCCUACGGGAGGCAGCAGUGGGGAAUAUUGCACAAUGGGCGGAAGCCUGAUGCAGCGACGCCGCGUGGGGGAUGACGGCCUUCGGGUUGUAAACUCCUUUCGACAGGGACGAAGCUUUUUGUGACGGUACCUGUAUAAGAAGCACCGGCUAACUACGUG